CGAAAGUGGGCUUCGGCCCACGAGUAGAGCGGCGAACGGGUGAGUAACGCGUGGGUGAUCUGCCUUCGAGUGGGGAAUAACACCGGGAAACUGGUGCUAAUACCGCAUAACAUCCUCGGUUCGUUCCGAGGAUCAAAGCUGGGGACCGUAAGGCCUGGCGCUUGAAGAGGAGCCCGCGUCCGAUUAGCUUGUUGGCGGGGUAAUGGCCCACCAAGGCUUCUAUCGGUAGCCGGCCUGAGAGGGCGGACGGCCACACUGGGACUGAGACACGGCCCAGACUCCUACGGGAGGCAGCAGUGGGGAAUUUUCCGCAAUGGGGGAAACCCUGACGGAGCAACGCCGCGUGGAGGAUGAAAGCCCUCGGGUCGUAAACUCCUGUCGAUCGGGAAGAAUGCGUCCGACCUAAUACGUCGGCACGUUGACUGUACCGGUGGAGGAAGCCACGGCUAACUCUGUGCCAGCAGCCGCGGUAAGACAGAGGUGGCAAGCGUUGUUCGGAAUUACUGGGCGAAAAGCGCGCGCAGGCGGUUCGUCAAGUCCCGUGUGAAAUCCCCCGGCUCAACUGGGGAACUGCGCGGGAAACUAGCGGGCUUGAGUUCGGGAGAGGGAAGCGGAAUUCCGGGUGUAGCGGUGAAAUGCGCAGAUAUCCGGAGGAACACCAGUGGCGAAGGCGGCUUCCUGGACCGAUACUGACGCUGAGGCGCGAAAGCUAGGGGAGCGAACGGGAUUAGAUACCCCGGU
This 741-nucleotide ribosomal RNA is filed under the name uncultured Acidobacteriaceae bacterium. RNAcentral describes it as "bacterial SSU rRNA". It matches the Rfam family "Bacterial small subunit ribosomal RNA", at positions 67 to 791 of the family's 1533-position model. The record is from RNAcentral. Lineage: Bacteria; Pseudomonadati; Acidobacteriota; Terriglobia; Terriglobales; Acidobacteriaceae.